Molecule: ribosomal RNA, 253 nt
Filed under: uncultured bacterium
Lineage: Bacteria
Description: partial 16S ribosomal RNA
Rfam family: Bacterial small subunit ribosomal RNA
Source: RNAcentral
UACGUAGGGCGCAAGCGUUAUCCGGAAUUAUUGGGCGUAAAGAGCUCGUAGGCGGUUUGUCGCGUCUGCUGUGAAAGACCGGGGCUCAACUCCGGUUCUGCAGUGGGUACGGGCAGACUAGAGUGCAGUAGGGGAGACUGGAAUUCCUGGUGUAGCGGUGAAAUGCGCAGAUAUCAGGAGGAACACCGAUGGCGAAGGCAGGUCUCUGGGCAGUAACUGACGCUGAGGAGCGAAAGCGUGGGGAGCGAACAGG